CCUACGGGAGGCAGCAGUGGGGAAUUUUCCGCAAUGGGCGAAAGCCUGACGGAGCAACGCCGCGUGAGGGACGAAGGCCUCUGGGCUGUAAACCUCUUUUCUCAAGGAAGAAGAUAUGACGGUACUUGAGGAAUAAGCCACGGCUAAUUCCGUGCCAGCAGCCGCGGUAAUACGGGAGUGGCAAGCGUUAUCCGGAAUUAUUGGGCGUAAAGCGUCCGCAGGCGGCUUUUCAAGUCUGCUGUUAAAGCGUGGAGCUUAACUCCAUCAUGGCAGUGGAAACUGUUGGGCUUGAGUGUGGUAGGGGCAGAGGGAAUUCCCGGUGUAGCGGUGAAAUGCGUAGAUAUCGGGAAGAACACCAGUGGCGAAGGCGCUCUGCUGGGCCAUCACUGACGCUCAUGGACGAAAGCCAGGGGAGCGAAAGGGAUUAGAUACCCCUGUAGUCCUGGCCGUAAACGAUGAACACUAGGUGUCGGGGGAAUCGACCCCCUCGGUGUCGUAGCCAACGCGUUAAGCGUUCCGCCUGGGGAGUACGCACGCAAGUGUGAAACUCAAAGGAAUUGACGG
RNAcentral lists this ribosomal RNA (564 nucleotides) under uncultured bacterium. RNAcentral describes it as "bacterial SSU rRNA". It matches the Rfam family "Bacterial small subunit ribosomal RNA", at positions 338 to 916 of the family's 1533-position model. The record is from RNAcentral.